Molecule: transfer RNA, 71 nt
Filed under: Patescibacteria group bacterium
Lineage: Bacteria
Description: tRNA-Gly
Rfam family: tRNA
About the family: Transfer RNA (tRNA) molecules are approximately 80 nucleotides in length. Their secondary structure includes four short double-helical elements and three loops (D, anti-codon, and T loops).
Source: RNAcentral
GCGGGUAUAGUUUAGUGGUAGAAUGAGUCCUUGCCAAGGAUUAGAUGAGAGUUCGAUUCUCUCUACCCGCA